GAAACAUGUGUUUGCCACAUAUCUUGCGUUCUACAAAAUUGCCAGGAAAACACACGGAGUGAUCUUCAUAGGGAACCAGUGUGGUGAUGGUUGGUGAAAUAAAAAAUAUUCAAAAAAUAAUCAAAAAAAUAAUCAAAAAAUAUUCACGGAAAUAUUCACGGAAAUAUUCAUGAAAAUAUUCAAGAAAUAUUCAAAGGAAUGAUUGAUGACAAAGAUGAUCAAAUGUGAUAAGGGGGGAAAGAAACCUGUGUUUUCCGCAUAUCUUGCGUUCUACAAAAUUGCCAGGAAAACCAAAGGAGUGAUCUUCAUAGGGAACCAGUGUGAUGAUGGUUGGUGAAAUAAAAAAUAUUCAAAAAAUAAUCAAAAAAAUAUUCACGGAAAUAUUCACGGAAAUAUUCAUGAAAAUAUUCAAGAAAUAUUCAAAGGAAUGAUUGAUUACAAAGAUUAUCAAAUGUGAUAAGGGGGGAAGGAAACCUGUGUUUGCCACAUAUCUUGCGUUCUACAAUAUUGCCAGGAAAACAAAAGAAGAGUGAUCUUCAUAGGGAACCCGUGUGAUGAUGGUUGGUGAAAUAAAAAAUAUUCAAAAAAUAUUCACGAAAAUAUU
Long non-coding RNA from Gasterosteus aculeatus aculeatus (three-spined stickleback), 604 nucleotides. The record is from Ensembl. NCBI's taxonomy places the organism in Eukaryota, Metazoa, Chordata, Actinopteri, Perciformes, Gasterosteidae.